GGACCCAUAGCUCAGCGGUAGAGCAUCUGAUUCCAGAUCAAACAGGGUCAUCCGUUCAAAUCGGGUUGGGUUCA
This is a non-coding RNA of Xylaria bambusicola, 74 nucleotides long. NCBI's taxonomy places the organism in Eukaryota, Fungi, Ascomycota, Sordariomycetes, Xylariales, Xylariaceae. The record is from the annotation of a RefSeq genome assembly.